GAUGAACGCUGGCGGCGUGCCUAAUACAUGCAAGUCGAGCGAAUGGAUUAAGAGCUUGCUCUUAUGAAGUUAGCGGCGGACGGGUGAGUAACACGUGGGUAACCUGCCCAUAAGACUGGGAUAACUCCGGGAAACCGGGGCUAAUACCGGAUAACAUUUUGAACCGCAUGGUUCGAAAUUGAAAGGCGGCUUCGGCUGUCACUUAUGGAUGGACCCGCGUCGCAUUAUCUAGUUGGUGAGGUAACGGCUCACCAAGGCAACGAUGCGUAGCCGACCUGAGAGGGUGACCGGCCACACGGGGCCUGAGACACGGCCCAGACUCCUACGGGAGGCAGCAGUAGGGAAUCUUCCGCAAUGGACGAAAGUCUGACGGAGCAACGCCGCGUGAGUGAUGAAGGCUUUCGGGUCGUAAAACUCUGUUGUUAGGGAAGAACAAGUGCUAGUUGAAUAAGCUGGCACCUUGACGGUACCUAACCAGAAAGCCACGGCUAACUACGUGCCAGCAGCCGCAGUAA
This 515-nucleotide ribosomal RNA is filed under the name uncultured bacterium. RNAcentral's name for it is "partial 16S ribosomal RNA". It matches the Rfam family "Bacterial small subunit ribosomal RNA", at positions 28 to 523 of the family's 1533-position model. The record is from RNAcentral.